GACGAACGCUGGCGGCGUGCCUAAUACAUGCAAGUAGAACGCUGAAGAGAGGAGCUUGCUCUUCUUGGAUGAGUUGCGAACGGGUGAGUAACGCGUAGGUAACCUGCCUUGUAGCGGGGGAUAACUAUUGGAAACGAUAGCUAAUACCGCAUAACAAUGGAUGACACAUGUCAUUUAUUUGAAAGGGGCAAUUGCUCCACUACAAGAUGGACCUGCGUUGUAUUAGCUAGUAGGUGAGGUAAUGGCUCACCUAGGCGACGAUACAUAGCCGACCUGAGAGGUGGAUCAGCCACACUGGGACGGGAACACGGCCCAGACUCCUACGGGAGGCAGAAGUGGGGAAUCUUCGGAAAUGGGGGCAACCCGGACCGAGCAACGCCGCGGGGGUGAGGAAGGUUUCCGGUUCGUAAGGUCCGUUUUUAGUCCAGGAACGGGUUGAGGGUUGAAAAGUCCCCCCGGGACGGUAACUUAACAGAAAGGGACCGCUAAAUUCGUG
Molecule: ribosomal RNA, 496 nt
Filed under: uncultured bacterium
Lineage: Bacteria
Description: partial 16S ribosomal RNA
Rfam family: Bacterial small subunit ribosomal RNA
Source: RNAcentral